GUGAUUGUUAGGUUCUUUCCUCCCAGAAAUCCUAACGCUUGAUGCAACAACCUCCUCCCUGUUGCAUUUACAAUCAAGGCCCAACGCACCUCCUCCCGCGUUGGGCCUUUUGU
Molecule: small RNA, 113 nt
Filed under: Phyllobacterium myrsinacearum
Lineage: Bacteria; Pseudomonadati; Pseudomonadota; Alphaproteobacteria; Hyphomicrobiales; Phyllobacteriaceae
Description: ar14
Rfam family: Alphaproteobacterial ar14
About the family: Smr14C2 was renamed NfeR1 (Nodule Formation Efficiency RNA) highly expressed in salt stress and during the symbiotic interaction on legume roots.
Source: RNAcentral